GCCUCAGUGGUGUAGUGGUAUCAAGCGCCUCCGCUAUAGGUGAAACGCCGGUUCAACUCCCGCCUGAGAUC
Molecule: non-coding RNA, 71 nt
Organism: Parelaphostrongylus tenuis
Lineage: Eukaryota; Metazoa; Nematoda; Chromadorea; Rhabditida; Metastrongylidae
Source: the annotation of a GenBank genome assembly